UACGAAGGGGGCAAGCGUUGUUCGGAUUUACUGGGCGUAAAGCGCUCGUAGGCGGUUUGUUAAGUGAGGGGUGAAAUCCCAGGGCUCAACCCUGGAAUUGCCUUUCAGACUGGCAGACUUGAGUAUGGUAGAGGAUAGUGGAAUUCCCAGUGUAGAGGUGAAAUUCGUAGAUAUUGGGAGGAACACCAGUGGCGAAAGCGGCUAUCUGGACCAUUACUGACGCUAAGGAGCGAAAGCGUGGGGAGCAAACAGG
This 253-nucleotide ribosomal RNA is filed under the name uncultured bacterium. Its description in RNAcentral is "partial 16S ribosomal RNA". It matches the Rfam family "Bacterial small subunit ribosomal RNA", at positions 524 to 776 of the family's 1533-position model. The record is from RNAcentral.